RNAcentral lists this ribosomal RNA (735 nucleotides) under uncultured Corynebacterium sp. RNAcentral's name for it is "bacterial SSU rRNA". It matches the Rfam family "Bacterial small subunit ribosomal RNA", at positions 28 to 776 of the family's 1533-position model. The record is from RNAcentral. Lineage: Bacteria; Bacillati; Actinomycetota; Actinomycetes; Mycobacteriales; Corynebacteriaceae.
GACGAACGCUGGCGGCGUGCUUAACACAUGCAAGUCGAACGGUAGGGCUCCAGCUUGCUGGGGUACACGAGUGGCGAACGGGUGAGUAACACGUGGGUGACCUGCCCUGCACUUCGGGAUAAGCCUGGGAAACUGGGUCUAAUACCGGAUAGGACCGCACCGUGAGGGUGUGGUGGAAAGUUUUUUCGGUGUGGGAUGGGCCCGCGGCCUAUCAGCUUGUUGGUGGGGUAAUGGCCUACCAAGGCGGCGACGGGUAGCCGGCCUGAGAGGGUGGACGGCCACAUUGGGACUGAGACACGGCCCAGACUCCUACGGGAGGCAGCAGUGGGGAAUAUUGCACAAUGGGCGGAAGCCUGAUGCAGCGACGCCGCGUGGGGGAUGACGGCCUUCGGGUUGUAAACUCCUUUCACCAUCGACGAAGGGUUUCUGACGGUAGAUGGAGAAGAAGCACCGGCUAACUACGUGCCAGCAGCCGCGGUAAUACGUAGGGUGCGAGCGUUGUCCGGAAUUACUGGGCGUAAAGAGCUCGUAGGUGGUUUGUCGCGUCGUCUGUGAAAUUCCGGGGCUUAACUCCGGGCGUGCAGGCGAUACGGGCAUAACUUGAGUACUGUAGGGGAGACUGGAAUUCCUGGUGUAGCGGUGAAAUGCGCAGAUAUCAGGAGGAACACCGGUGGCGAAGGCGGGUCUCUGGGCAGUAACUGACGCUGAGGAGCGAAAGCAUGGGGAGCGAACAGG